ACUACGGGGGCAGCAGUGGGGAAUAUUGCACAAUGGGGGAAACCCUGAUGCAGCGACGCCGCGUGAGUGAAGAAGUAUUGCGGUAUGUAAAGCUCUAUCAGCAGGGAAGAAAAUGACGGUACCUGAUUAAGAAGCCCCGGCUAACGACGUGACAGCAGCCGCGGUAAUACGUAGGGGGCAAGCGUUAUCCGGAUUUAGUGGGUGUAACGGGAGCGUAGUCGGGAGGACAAGUAUGCAGUGAAAUGCAGGGGCUUAACCCCGUGACUGCUUGGGAAACCGGGCAGCUAGAGUGCAGGAGAGGUAGGUGGAAUUCCUGGGGUAGCGGUGAAAUGCGUAGAUAGUAGGAGGAAC
RNAcentral lists this ribosomal RNA (351 nucleotides) under uncultured bacterium. RNAcentral describes it as "partial 16S ribosomal RNA". It matches the Rfam family "Bacterial small subunit ribosomal RNA", at positions 338 to 707 of the family's 1533-position model. The record is from RNAcentral.